RNAcentral lists this ribosomal RNA (2454 nucleotides) under Staphylococcus aureus. Its description in RNAcentral is "partial 23S ribosomal RNA". It matches the Rfam family "Bacterial large subunit ribosomal RNA", at positions 381 to 2841 of the family's 2925-position model. The record is from RNAcentral. Lineage: Bacteria; Bacillati; Bacillota; Bacilli; Caryophanales; Staphylococcaceae.
GAAAAUGUUGUCUCUCUUGAGUGGAUCCUGAGUACGACGGAGCACGUGAAAUUCCGUCGGAAUCUGGGAGGACCAUCUCCUAAGGCUAAAUACUCUCUAGUGACCGAUAGUGAACCAGUACCGUGAGGGAAAGGUGAAAAGCACCCCGGAAGGGGAGUGAAAUAGAACCUGAAACCGUGUGCUUACAAGUAGUCAGAGCCCGUUAAUGGGUGAUGGCGUGCCUUUUGUAGAAUGAACCGGCGAGUUACGAUUUGAUGCAAGGUUAAGCAGUAAAUGUGGAGCCGUAGCGAAAGCGAGUCUGAAUAGGGCGUUUAGUAUUUGGUCGUAGACCCGAAACCAGGUGAUCUACCCUUGGUCAGGUUGAAGUUCAGGUAACACUGAAUGGAGGACCGAACCGACUUACGUUGAAAAGUGAGCGGAUGAACUGAGGGUAGCGGAGAAAUUCCAAUCGAACCUGGAGAUAGCUGGUUCUCUCCGAAAUAGCUUUAGGGCUAGCCUCAAGUGAUGAUUAUUGGAGGUAGAGCACUGUUUGGACGAGGGGCCCCUCUCGGGUUACCGAAUUCAGACAAACUCCGAAUGCCAAUUAAUUUAACUUGGGAGUCAGAACAUGGGUGAUAAGGUCCGUGUUCGAAAGGGAAACAGCCCAGGCCACCAGCUAAGGUCCCAAAAUAUAUGUUAAGUGGAAAAGGAUGUGGCGUUGCCCAGACAACUAGGAUGUUGGCUUAGAAGCAGCCAUCAUUUAAAGAGUGCGUAAUAGCUCACUAGUCGAGUGACACUGCGCCGAAAAUGUACCGGGGCUAAACAUAUUACCGAAGCUGUGGAUUGUCCUUUGGACAAUGGUAGGAGAGCGUUCUAAGGGCGUUGAAGCAUGAUCGUAAGGACAUGUGGAGCGCUUAGAAGUGAGAAUGCCGGUGUGAGUAGCGAAAGACGGGUGAGAAUCCCGUCCACCGAUUGACUAAGGUUUCCAGAGGAAGGCUCGUCCGCUCUGGGUUAGUCGGGUCCUAAGCUGAGGCCGACAGGCGUAGGCGAUGGAUAACAGGUUGAUAUUCCUGUACCACCUAUAAUCGUUUUAAUCGAUGGGGGGACGCAGUAGGAUAGGCGAAGCGUGCGAUUGGAUUGCACGUCUAACCAGUAAGGCUGAGUAUUAGGCAAAUCCGGUACUCGUUAAGGCUGAGCUGUGAUGGGGAGAAGACAUUGUGUCUUCGAGUCGUUGAUUUCACACUGCCGAGAAAAGCCUCUAGAUAGAAAAUAGGUGCCCGUACCGCAAACCGACACAGGUAGUCAAGAUGAGAAUUCUAAGGUGAGCGAGCGAACUCUCGUUAAGGAACUCGGCAAAAUGACCCCGUAACUUCGGGAGAAGGGGUGCUCUUUAGGGUUAACGCCCAGAAGAGCCGCAGUGAAUAGGCCCAAGCGACUGUUUAUCAAAAACACAGGUCUCUGCUAAACCGUAAGGUGAUGUAUAGGGGCUGACGCCUGCCCGGUGCUGGAAGGUUAAGAGGAGUGGUUAGCUUCUGCGAAGCUACGAAUCGAAGCCCCAGUAAACGGCGGCCGUAACUAUAACGGUCCUAAGGUAGCGAAAUUCCUUGUCGGGUAAGUUCCGACCCGCACGAAAGGCGUAACGAUUUGGGCACUGUCUCAACGAGAGACUCGGUGAAAUCAUAGUACCUGUGAAGAUGCAGGUUACCCGCGACAGGACGGAAAGACCCCGUGGAGCUUUACUGUAGCCUGAUAUUGAAAUUCGGCACAGCUUGUACAGGAUAGGUAGGAGCCUUUGAAACGUGAGCGCUAGCUUACGUGGAGGCGCUGGUGGGAUACUACCCUAGCUGUGUUGGCUUUCUAACCCGCACCACUUAUCGUGGUGGGAGACAGUGUCAGGCGGGCAGUUUGACUGGGGCGGUCGCCUCCUAAAAGGUAACGGAGGCGCUCAAAGGUUCCCUCAGAAUGGUUGGAAAUCAUUCAUAGAGUGUAAAGGCAUAAGGGAGCUUGACUGCGAGACCUACAAGUCGAGCAGGGUCGAAAGACGGACUUAGUGAUCCGGUGGUUCCGCAUGGAAGGGCCAUCGCUCAACGGAUAAAAGCUACCCCGGGGAUAACAGGCUUAUCUCCCCCAAGAGUUCACAUCGACGGGGAGGUUUGGCACCUCGAUGUCGGCUCAUCGCAUCCUGGGGCUGUAGUCGGUCCCAAGGGUUGGGCUGUUCGCCCAUUAAAGCGGUACGCGAGCUGGGUUCAGAACGUCGUGAGACAGUUCGGUCCCUAUCCGUCGUGGGCGUAGGAAAUUUGAGAGGAGCUGUCCUUAGUACGAGAGGACCGGGAUGGACAUACCUCUGGUGUACCAGUUGUCGUGCCAACGGCAUAGCUGGGUAGCUAUGUGUGGACGGGAUAAGUGCUGAAAGCAUCUAAGCAUGAAGCCCCCCUCAAGAUGAGAUUUCCCAACUUCGGUUAUAAGAUCCCUCAA